This is a non-coding RNA of Zootermopsis nevadensis, 731 nucleotides long. Lineage: Eukaryota; Metazoa; Arthropoda; Insecta; Blattodea; Termopsidae. The record is from RefSeq and is a predicted model, not a curated record.
GGUAAUUAUAAAAGACUGAAAAAGAACGGUAACAUUAAAUUACAAACAUACAAUUUAAUAAAAAAAUACGUCAUAGGUUUCAGAGAGUUAUUUUUGCACUUUCUAAAUACGUAAUAUCUUCAGUAGUGGGCCCUCGAAACUUUUUUAUUCAUACAAGCGAAGCCGCAGAUUACAAUAAAUAAUUUAAUAAACUUGUUAUGGAAUUGGUCAAGAGCAUACAUUGACUUGUAAUGGUAAGAAACUUCCUCUGCGUUUACGAAAUUCAUCCGAAUAUCUUUGAUCACAGAGUACUCAUUGUAAACACGUUGAAACUUUGGAAUGUAUAUAUAAUUCUUACAGUGUAUUAAAUUUGAAAUAUGUAACAGUUUUAAAUAAAAUACAAAGUUCCGAGGAGUGUAUCUUGAUAAAGUGGGGCUCUUAACUUAAUCAACAGUUUUACAUUAGUGUUUCACAAUUUUGCGUAACUUUGGAGAUAUGGAUCCAUCCAUACCUUGUUAAAUGAUGUGGUGUAAGUAGUAGGAAAUGCGGUAGCGCCUCAAAGCAAGAAGAGGAUUGCGGUUAUAAUGGAAAAUAGUGAUAUGUUAUCUAAUUCUUUAGGCCAUGUUGAAACGGCAGUGUGUAGUGAUGAUUCGCCUGACAUAUUUGUCGAUUGUUCACCACUAGAAGAAGAGUUAUCUUCAGAUGUGAAAAUACAGAUUGAAGGUGAUAACAUGUCAGAAGGUGAGAGUGAA